ACGGGAGGCAGCAGUGGGGAAUAUUGCACAAUGGGCGAAAGCCUGAUGCAGCGACGCCGCGUGAGUGAAGAAGUAUUUCGGUAUGUAAAGCUCUAUCAGCAGGGAAGAUAAUGACGGUACCUGACUAAGAAGCACCGGCUAAAUACGUGCCAGCAGCCGCGGUAAUACGUAUGGUGCAAGCGUUAUCCGGAUUUACUGGGUGUAAAGGGAGCGUAGGCGGUCUGAUAAGUCUGAAGUGAAAGCCCGGGGCUCAACCGCGGGAUUGCUUUGGAAACUGUUGGACUAGAGUGUCGGAGGGGCAAGUGGAAUUCCUAGUGUAGCGGUGAAAUGCGUAGAUAUUAGGAGGAACACCAGUGGCGAAGGCGGCUUGCUGGACGAUUACUGACGCUGAGACUCGAAAGCGUGGGGAGCAAACAGGAUUAGAUACCCUGGUA
Molecule: ribosomal RNA, 434 nt
Filed under: uncultured Lachnospiraceae bacterium
Lineage: Bacteria; Bacillati; Bacillota; Clostridia; Lachnospirales; Lachnospiraceae
Also listed under: 1 other name
Description: partial 16S ribosomal RNA
Rfam family: Bacterial small subunit ribosomal RNA
Source: RNAcentral